UACGGGGGGUGCAAGCGUUAUUCGGAAUCAUUGGGCGUAAAGGGCGCGUAGGCGGUCUUUUAAGUCAGAUGUGAAAGCCCUCGGCUUAACCGAGGAAGUGCAUUUGAUACUAAGAGACUUGAGUAUGGGAGAGGGAAGCGGAAUUCCUGGUGUAGCGGUGAAAUGCGUAGAUAUCAGGAGGAACACCGGUGGCGAAGGCGACUUGCUGGACCAAUACUGACGCUGAGAUGCGAAAGCGUGGGGAGCAAACAGG
RNAcentral lists this ribosomal RNA (253 nucleotides) under uncultured bacterium. RNAcentral describes it as "partial 16S ribosomal RNA". It matches the Rfam family "Bacterial small subunit ribosomal RNA", at positions 524 to 776 of the family's 1533-position model. The record is from RNAcentral.